Clarias gariepinus (North African catfish) is the source of this 1091-nucleotide RNA transcript. It is a transcript of the gene named histone H2B-like, with no coding region annotated. The record is from RefSeq and is a predicted model, not a curated record. Lineage: Eukaryota; Metazoa; Chordata; Actinopteri; Siluriformes; Clariidae. The transcript is spliced from 4 exons.
AGCAGCACCAUGCCUGAGCCAGCCAAGACCGCCCCCAAGAAGGGCUCGAAGAAAGCCGUGACCAAGACCGCCGGCAAAGGAGGCAAGAAGCGCAGAAAGUCCAGGAAGGAGAGCUACGCCAUCUACGUGUACAAAGUCCUGAAGCAGGUUCACCCCGACACCGGCAUUUCGUCCAAGGCGAUGGGAAUCAUGAAUUCGUUCGUCAACGACAUCUUCGAGCGCAUUGCCGGUGAGUCCUCUCGUCUGGCUCACUACAACAAACGCUCCACCAUCACUUCCAGGGAGAUCCAGACCGCCGUGCGCCUGUUGCUGCCCGGUUUCAGCCAAUACUGUUUACCUCACUGAUGAUUCAAAUGUGGCCCUGUUCCCUGGAGGAGUCACUGGUGUUUUCAGUACAUUAGACCUUAUACCUAAGGGUCACUAUGAGGUCCAUGGCGAAGACAUGGAUUCAACCCCAGUAGGCCCUAACAGCCACAGUGGGUUACUGGCCCCUCCACGGCCACCAAAACUUUUCAGAGAUGAGUUUACCUUGCUGAGGUGGCUGGUGGGAGGUUGAUUCCCAGUAGAAUGGUGGUGGUUUGUAUCUGGAGGGUGAAGCUUCCCUUCACUGGGAAUAAUAGGAAAAGUACAAGAUGCCAUUGGCAAUUACAAUCCUAUAAUUUUGACAGAUGCCCAGGGCAGUGCCAUACUGGAGUCAGAAGUGUCACAAUACUGGAAACAAAAUGCUUGAAAAAUUCUUGCUGUGCCAGAACAAGACUUUAAUAGCCUCCAGGGAACAAUUUAAAUUGAAAAUUUUCUUGUCUUUUUCUAUCAAUACUCUUUGGAGUACAGUACAGUGCUGUGAAACAGUAUUUGUCCCAAUUUUUGAAAAGGUGAGUUAAAUUUCACUUGCCACAUCCAGGCCUGAUUAAUGCCAGACCUCUUGAAUUAAGAAAUGGGGCAAAUACUUUUUACAGCACUGUAUAUAUUAUCCACAGACCAUUGACCAGGAAAGACGUAUAACAAAACAUCUGAAGCCUCAAUUAGGAUAUUGAAUUUAUAGGCCUUUGUGCAGAGAGGGCUUGAUUUAUUCACCUUUCACUUACAAUAAA